UACGGGGGGGGCAAGCGUUGUUCGGAAUUACUGGGCGUAAAGGGCUCGUAGGUGGCCAACUAAGUCAGACGUGAAAUCCCUCAGCUUAACUGGGGAACUGCGUCUGAUACUGGAUGGCUUGAGUUUGGGAGAGGGAUGCGGAGUUCCAGGUGUAGCGGUGAAAUGCGUAGAUAUCUGGAGGAACACCGGUGGCGAAGGCGGCAUCCUGGACCAACACUGACACUGAGGAGCGAAAGCCAGGGGAGCAAACGGG
This 253-nucleotide ribosomal RNA is filed under the name uncultured bacterium. RNAcentral's name for it is "partial 16S ribosomal RNA". It matches the Rfam family "Bacterial small subunit ribosomal RNA", at positions 524 to 776 of the family's 1533-position model. The record is from RNAcentral.